RNAcentral lists this small nucleolar RNA (140 nucleotides) under Sorex araneus (European shrew). RNAcentral describes it as "Small nucleolar RNA SNORA48 (ENSSARG00000019251.1)". It matches the Rfam family "Small nucleolar RNA SNORA48". Rfam says of the family: The snoRNA ACA 48 has been identified to guide pseudouridylation of the residue U3797 in the 28S rRNA subunit. Its host gene EIF4A1 (eukaryotic translation initiation factor 4A1) is shared with U67 and snoRNA mgU6-77 The record is from RNAcentral. Lineage: Eukaryota; Metazoa; Chordata; Mammalia; Eulipotyphla; Soricidae.
AUCCCUAGCCAUGGACAAAGAGACAUCUCAUUGCUGGUGUUGCUCUUAUAUCUGCCAGGGGCAAAGCAGUCGGUCCUUUGUUCAUCCUAGCUCGCUGCCUGGGUUGGGGGCCAGAGCUAUUUCAUGCUUGUGACACAUAA